Molecule: long non-coding RNA, 677 nt
Filed under: Anas platyrhynchos platyrhynchos (common mallard)
Lineage: Eukaryota; Metazoa; Chordata; Aves; Anseriformes; Anatidae
Description: lncRNA (ENSAPLG00000022640.1)
Source: RNAcentral
CUUGCCUUGCCUCACCGCGCCUUGGAUUUACCUGAGGAAUUGCUAGACCUGACUGUAAUGCACUUUGGAUUCCCCUGAGUCCAUACAUUAUUUGUUCCAGCUUGGUUCAGCUAGGUACCCUGUACCUGAUCACAAUUCCUUUUCCUUACAAAUCCUGCUGCUGCUAACAGCAGCAGUGCUUUGUCUUUACGAUCUGCUCUUCAGAGCUCAGUACAGUGGUUCAUAUCAGAGAGAAAAUCAGGGAGACAAAUGUAGUAUACUUUUUGCUGAAAUUGCCAUUAAAGGAGAGAAGCAGGAGAGCCUGAGUGCUGGCAUAGCCAGAGCCAGGAGGGGCCAGAGAUAACCUGACCAUCAUGAAAUGAUCACUGGCUCUUCUGCCUCUCAUUUCUCCUUUGAUAGUGACGGUAAUAAACCACAGACAGAACGUGGGAUUAUCCACUUAGCUCUGUUCUUCCCGACUCCUGAGUGAGAUGAAAGCCUCAGCCACAAUCCUGAGCCUUCAAGAAGAAAUUAGGCAACUUGAUCUUAUUUCAAAGGACACCAGACUUAAUGGGGCAUGUGACCUUUCUCAAAACAUCUUUGAAUUACUGGGCAACAUUUCUGAACUCUACAGAAGUGCAUGCAAGCAAAAACGUGAACACGGUGGUCUGAUUUUGAGCUCAGUCAUGCAGAUUUGA